RNA transcript from Manacus vitellinus (golden-collared manakin), 2915 nucleotides. It is a transcript of the gene named ATPase Na+/K+ transporting subunit beta 3, with no coding region annotated. The record is from RefSeq and is a predicted model, not a curated record. The transcript has 7 exons. Lineage: Eukaryota; Metazoa; Chordata; Aves; Passeriformes; Pipridae.
GGUUGAUCUUACUGUUCUAUCUGGUGUUCUAUGGCUUCCUAGCAGCACUCUUCACAUUCACAAUGUGGGUUAUGCUUCAGACACUGAGCAGUGAUAUACCAAAAUACCGUGACCGGAUUUCUAGUCCAGGACUUAUGAUCUCACCAAAGCCAGACACCGCACUGGAAUUUUACUUUAACAAGAGUGACAGCCAGUCAUAUUUGGAAUAUGUUACUACACUUAAAAGUUUCCUUGAAUCAUACAAUGAGUCAAAGCAGUCCCAAAACAUAGAUUGUACACCAGGGAAGAUUUUUGAGCAAAAUGAUGUUGCUGUUAAAAAGGCCUGUCGAUUCAACCUCUCUGAUCUGGGGCAGUGCUCUGGAAAGGAAGAUACGAAUUUUGGGUAUUCCAAAGGAACUCCCUGUGUGAUUGUGAAAAUGAACAGAAUAAUUGGAUUAAAGCCCGAAGGAGAACCACGUAUACAGUGUACACCUAAGUGCACCUUAGACAGUUUUGUAAAUGAUGGGAUGAAGGCAUGGUUGCUAUAAAUUAUUUUCCUCCUCAUGGCCUGAUAGACUUGAUGUACUUUCCAUACUAUGGGAAAAGCUUGCAUGCUCACUAUUUACAGCCUCUAGUGGCUGUUCAACUAGCAAUUCACCCCAACAGUACCAAAGAAGAAAUAGCAAUUGAGUGCAAGAUCCUGGGCUCACCUAAUUUAAAAAAUGAAGAUGACCGUGACAAGUUUCUGGGACGAAUUACCUUCAAAGUUCAGAUGUCUGAAUAGCUGGAGUAAAUGUUCUCCACAAAGUAAAUGUUGUGUUGUCUGUUUUGUAUCAGCUGGACAUGCCAUUCUUAGGAUAUGAGACCACCUUGGAGAAUGUUAAGGUGGUUUAUGGCGUUCAGGGUAGCAUAAUAAUAUGCUUCCAAAUUGUAUGUUUAAAAUCCCUUAAAAUAAAUGCCUAUCCUGCUUUUGCCUGCCCCAUUGGAACAGUGUACAGACUAUAGUUAUGUCAUAGGGACCUGUAAAUAGCUGUUUUCAAACACAUAAUAAUGGUGACCUUUGUCCUGUUCUAAAACGUGGUUUUAUCCCCCAAGUGAGUGUCUCAAGCUUAAUGUGCUGUGCUCUGUAAAUAUUGUAUUGAUUUAACACUGGUUUAACUGUCAUAUCUCAAUGCUGACACAGUUAGAGGGAUAAAUAAUAAAUGGUACCUGAUUGACAUAGUGAGUUCUUUGUAAGAGUAAACACCUCCAACGUAAAUCGUGUGGAUGGGAGUGGGUGGGUGGAAGGAUGGCUGAGUGGAGAUGCCUUAAAUUGUAGACUGGGUGGCGUGGGAGAAUUGAAAUGAGUUUUAAGAGUUGGUAUGAAUUUCUGAAAGUAAGUGCUCAACUAGUACUUCCUUGUGCUUGUCACUGUGCAAGUAUUGUGUACAUGUAAUACUUGGUAUAGAGUUUGGUGUUCUAGCUGAGGAAUUGAAUCUUUCUUUGUGUUGUUAAUUGCUUGUAAUAUGUGGAGCACAAAUAAAAUCUAUACAAUAUUUUAAAACUUUUUAGUUCAGAAAUAUUGAUAGCAAACAGUUUAAAUUGUUUAGGGUCAUGGUAACAGUUGUACAACAGAGCUGCUUGAAAAAAGUGGCUUCACUAUUGUGGGAAUAGGCUUUCAUUUUCCAAUUAAAAAGUUUUCUGAAGAACCUCUGUUUAUGAAAAAAAAAAGGAAAAAGAAAGGAUUGUCUUGAUUAAACAUUCCUGUUUAAUUUAUAUAUCUGUUUCGUUGCAUCAUUUUAACAUCUCAUGUCUUCAUCUGCUCUUUCAUCUUGGACUUUGUGUGUAUUUCAUCAUCAUCCAUUUAGAAAAUUGGUAUCAUCAGCUGCUUCAUAGAAAUAUCCUGUUGAGCUGCAGUGGAUUACCUGCAGUGUAACUCCAAAGGCAGUUGCUAAAAUGCCUACAAACAGACUGGUUUAUUUGUGCCUGAUGCUCACAUUAAACCAGGCUGACCCAUUCCAUUGGGCUGUAACUUGGGCAGCUGUGCUGACAUGUGAUUUAUGCUACUCUUCCCCAGGGUUUUGUUUGGUUUGGUCUUGGGGGGUGUGUUUUUUUGAGCACAUGGUCCACAUUCUGAUGUCUUCUUAAUAUUAAAGACCACAGCGAAUCCGCAUUUGUGUAAAUACCUGUACGUUCUGCUAGUUAGGCCUAAAUUUGUUACUUAAUAGGCUUUUGUACCUAAUUGUUACAGUGGUUUUUAAUAUUUUAUUUAAACAAAUUAAAUGAAGGAUUUCUAAAAUUAAAGAUCCAAUCUUAUUGCCCUGCUUUAAAAAAGUUUGAGUCCAGUCUAAGCCACAUUAGUGAAAAACUUUUAACAGCUGUGCAAGUUUACACUGGUGCACAGUUGGAGGAAGCUGCUCUUAAUGGGACUUGAACAGUGUCUUAAACCUCAUUAAAAAUAGAUUUAUACUGAUCUGAUACCAUUCAGCAUGCUUUUUUGUUGUCUACAAAAGAAAGUUGUUGUUCCUACAAUAUGCAAUGGAUAUUUUUGUAAUAAUGGCAUGCAUUAAUACUGAAUGAGAUGUUCUUUUAAAAUAUUCCAUUACUAAUGUUUUAAAUGAUGCACUUUUAGAGCUGGGAUACCUGGCUUCUUGAAGAUAUGACUAAUUGCUUCUCUGUGUAUUAAUACUGCCUGAAAGUAUUUUAAUAGUUGUGAGGGAACUUAAAUGUAGAUGUUGCAUCUGACAAUGAAAAGGAUUCACUUCAUGUAAAAACUUUUCACAUUUGUGUUCACUUAGGAAUGGUAAGAACUUCUGGAAAAACACUCAGUUUUCAAAUGAGUUUGUUUUUUGCAACAAUUUCUCUUUUGACUUAUCUAUAUAGACAAAGCAUGAAAUGGCAACUCUUCACCAGCACUUUUCAGACAGGUAAAACUCAAUAAACUCCUGUUCUCCCUA